CAGGAUCAGCUUCUCCUCAUACUGGUGCUUCAGUGUUUGCAGGCGCCGUUGGCUGUUCUCCAGCUCAUCGAUCAGCUUCUGCUUGAUCUCUAUCUCGCAGGUCAAAUCUGCAAGGUCAGCCUGGAAAUUCACGGCCUUCUCCUCUGCAUCUGAGUCUGAGUCCGCCAGGCUUUCUUCACUGCCUGAGUCUUCGUCUUCAUCCUCACGUCCAUCCUCUUCCUCACAGCCACUCUCAUCCUGUUCCUCCUCCUCCUCCUCCUCUUCUGCUUCAUUCUCGUCCGUCUCCUCCCCGUUGUCCUGCUGCAGCUUUGGCCGCUUCUUAAAUGCUUCCUUCUCUGGGCUUUUCCUCCGCUGCCUCCUCUCUUUCUUUUUCAGCCUCUCCAGGUCCUGCUUGGCACGUCGCAGGACGUCAGAGGCCUCGGUUUCC
This 427-nucleotide long non-coding RNA is filed under the name Gallus gallus (chicken). The record is from RNAcentral. Lineage: Eukaryota; Metazoa; Chordata; Aves; Galliformes; Phasianidae.